ACUCCUACGGGAGGCACAGUGGGAAUAUUGCACAAUGGGCGCAAGCCUGAUGCAGCCAUGCCGCGUGUAUGAAGAAGGCCUUCGGGUUGUAAAGUACUUUCAGCAGUGAGGAAGGUAGUGUAGUUAAUAGCUGCAUUAUUUGACGUUAGCUGCAGAAGAAGCACCGGCUAACUCCGUGCCAGCAGCCGCGGUAAUACGGAGGGUGCGAGCGUUAAUCGGAAUUACUGGGCG
RNAcentral lists this ribosomal RNA (231 nucleotides) under uncultured bacterium. RNAcentral's name for it is "partial 16S ribosomal RNA". It matches the Rfam family "Bacterial small subunit ribosomal RNA", at positions 335 to 560 of the family's 1533-position model. The record is from RNAcentral.